This 390-nucleotide ribosomal RNA is filed under the name uncultured bacterium. Its description in RNAcentral is "bacterial SSU rRNA". It matches the Rfam family "Bacterial small subunit ribosomal RNA", at positions 29 to 420 of the family's 1533-position model. The record is from RNAcentral.
AUUGAACGCUGGCGGCAUGCCUUACACAUGCAAGUCGAACGGCAGCGCGGGAGCAAUCCUGGCGGCGAGUGGCGAACGGGUGAGUAAUAUAUCGGAACGUGCCCAGUAGUGGGGGAUAGCCCGGCGAAAGCCGGAUUAAUACCGCAUGAGACCUGAGGGUGAAAGCGGGGGAUCGCAAGACCUCGCGCUAUUGGAGCGGCCGAUAUCAGAUUAGCUAGUUGGUGGGGUAAAGGCCUACCAAGGCAACGAUCUGUAGUUGGUCUGAGAGGAUGAUCAGCCACACUGGGACUGAGACACGGCCCAGACUCCUACGGGAGGCAGCAGUGGGGAAUUUUGGACAAUGGGCGCAAGCCUGAUCCAGCAAUGCCGCGUGCAGGAAGAAGGCCUCGG